CCUUCAGUUUGUCCCUUUCAGGACUGUCUUUGGAGACAUUUAGAAGGAGGAUACCCAAGAAGAGGGAGCAGUCUUUCUGUGAAGAAUAGACUUGGCAGCUGAAGAGUUGUCGCAGACUUUCAGGGGAUCACCAAAUCUGUGCAAGUCCUUCAGAUGAACAACCCCCCCCUCUGAAAUGCUUAAUCCAGAGUGCCUUUUGUAGAUCUAUGUUCCUUAGAUGCAGACAUACAAAAUACUUUGUACUUUUAUGGCACCUUCCAUUGAAGAAAGAGCCUUUUAGAAGAGCUGGAAGAGAAGGAAUUAUCAGCAAUAUACAAGGCUGAGCAACUUCAAAGAGACAGCCUGAUUUGCCUGGGGAUGCACAAAAAUCAGCAAAAGAAAGAGUUGCAUCACCAGAAAGAGACUAGAAGGCUGCACUGACAACUGAGAAAAUAAAGGAGAAGUGACCUCAGCUGCCACUGCACAGUCUCAACAGCCUGGCACUGUUUGGCAAAUGCUUGAUACAUCAAGAAAACUUCAGAGGAGUUACUAUUGCCUCACACCAAUGGCUACACAAGAGGUCACAUUCUCUUUUUAUUGUCCUUGCUGGAGCAUGGGAAAGAGGUGACAUGCAUUUUAACUUACAUGUUUGCACAGGCAAGUUCAGAGAAAACUAAUUCUAAAGGAAAAAUUAUCUAUUCUAUCACCAGUUCUGGUGAAGGAAAUGUAGAAUUAAAAUUAUCUUUGGGAUUGCUGAGUCCAGUCUUCUGCUCUGUAGUGAGCCAAGUUUCCAAUCUUUUUCAUAAACAGCUUGGUGCUAUUCAAAAAUAUUCUCUUUCCUCCUUGUUCUCUCUCCUAUUCUCCCAGUUUCCCACUUUGUUUGUUCCAGAAUUUCCCUCUUUUGAUGGGAUAAAAUCCUUUUAAUUUCCAUGGUCAGUUUAGGCAUGUUUCUCUUGUUCUGUGAAAAUCCUAAAAAAUUAAUUACUGCAGGUAGCCAUGUCUGUAUAGGGAAUAAGGGAGGAAAACCCUUAGAAGAGGACAGAAAAUCUUCACUUGGGUAAAUCCUUAAGACUCAAGUCUGUUGGAAACUAGGCUUUAACAGCACUUAGCAUAAAGUGUUUGUGUAUCUGAUACUACCAGGUUUUUCUGGGACUAGCAAAUGAAUUAUUUAGUAAUGGAAACUGCAUGUGCAUGUGUUUGGCUUCUGUAGGUUCAUGUGAUAGAAAACUGUAAGAGUGUCUGUAGGGAUCACAACUGCACAACUUUGUGUCUUUAACCCUAUGUCUUAACAGGGCUCAGAAAUUCCCAUUUAGUUGGGUACAGGAGAGAGAACAGAGUGGCAAGUCUCAGCUUUUAUUGCUAACGCUUUAAUGCAAAAUAACAUUUAUGGUCUGUAGAUUUGGUUCUGUGCAGGUCUGUGUGACUUAAAAUUUAUUACACCACUUCAUAUCCGUGCAUCUCUCUCCUGCUCCUGGAUAUAAAAGAAAUUAAAGGUCCAAAAGGUUACCUUUAUGUUAAUAGAUCCAGAUAUACCCAAUAUUUAACUUCCCUGGACAAAGGAAUUGCAUCAAGGGCUGGCUUGUCCUGUUAGCAUGUGACAGUGUCAGCCCUGCGUGCUGCACAGCUUCAUGGAGCCUUGGAGAAUAAAAAAGAAAAAAGCCAAGUGUAUGCUCAAUGGAAAACAGAUGGAGUUUUCAUUAGAUAUUACUUUUAAUGAUCUGCUUUAAAAGUAAAGAUACACCAUUCUGAGCAGAAGGGCCUCAUAAUAGCUGUGUUUGGGUCCCAGGCUCAUUAACUCAGCUACAGAUAAGCAAGACUGCAAGAUCUUUGUAUCAUUAGAGGUUCCAGUCAAGCUUGCCUACCAUUAUUAGAAUUCCAAACACAGCAGAACUAUUUUGGAGCCUUAACAAUAAUUUAUCCUGAAGAUGUAUCUUUAUUUAAUGAUUCAGAGUUGUUAUUAUGGGCCUGGCAGUCAGCUGCUCAGUUUCUGGAGUAUUACCAUUUAACCUAGGUCAGGAUAAAAAUCCUGGAAUAUUCAUUGCAGGGCAGACCUGAGGGUCUGUUCUUUAGAGUCCUCUGGGGUGUGACUGUCCCAAAUGGUGUCACUGCUGUGAGAGGUGACCCCAGCAGUCUGCAAAACCUGGAGAUCCCUUCUAAAAAGGGGGACCCUGCAAUCUGUGCCUGUGGGUACUAAAUCAACUUUUGACAUGUAAAGAACAAUGCAAUCCCAGGGUUUUAGGAGUAGAUGCUUGCUGCCAAACCACAAGAAAUGCUUUUGUCUGGAACUCAUGGAGCAGUAACAUAGCAGUGGAGGGUGUACCCUUGUCUGUUAUUCCCUCUGAGCAAUUUCUCAGAGACUUGUUACCAGGAUUCAGAUAGAUUUCAUGGAACUAGGAGAGAAAUAGGCUUUAAUUUCCUUACAAAAGGAGGGAGAGACAAUAGAACUCAGCAAAACGUGGCAUUUUUUUUAUUUCUGUCUGACAGUUAUGCAAGCAAAACCCAGUGCCCAUCUUCAGGCAGUACUCUCUAAAGUACUGAGACUCAUGUGAGAAAAUUUGUCUUAUCUUUCUUCUGGUGUGAGUUGAUAAAACUGCUUCAUUUCCUCUGCAUAUGUACAUCAAGGAUAUCCCCUUGCUAUGUUGCUAGAGUGAAAAAACCAACACUUCUUAUACAAUUGUUUAUUUCUUCUUUAGCCAUUCAGUGGCCUUUUCCUGGUUCAGUAUAUCUUUUUGAGCAUGGGUGGUCAAACCUGAACAAGCCAGUUCCAUCACAGAGAUGAUUCCAGCACGAGAUCUUUGCUGCACCAAGUAUUCCACAACUGGAGAAUUCUGGAGAAGUGAUAAGAGGAAAUGCAAGUGACCUCCAGAGCAAGAGUUCCUGUGACUUUGACUGCUCCUUAUCAAAUGUCCAUGCUGACUCUUUGUCCAGACAGGUCAGGUGUCCAGAGCAGUGAUGUCCUAACUGCUUUUGUGGGAGGGCUGCUGUUCUCUCUGCUCCUAGACUGUUCCUACUCCCAAGCACACAGCUUGCCAGCUGAGUUGUGCCUGAUUGCCACGUGCUCCCAGGUUCCUUUACACCUGCCUGGCACUUCCUUGCAGAAAUAGGACAGAGCACAGAAGAGCCCCUCAUGAAGCACCUGGCCUCAGGCACAGAGACACAGCUGUCCCCUCAGUCUGAGUAACACCAGCAUGUGGCACCUCCUGGGGCUCUGCAGGCUCUGAGAGCUCAGAAAGGCAGAGUCAGAGACCCCACGGGUGCUCCUUGGCAUUCCCACACCUCUCUCCUUGCUGGGUGUCCCUGAUGGCCUUUGUAAAUCAUUCAUGAAAGAUACUUCUGAAUAAAUACUUUCUCUGUUAUCUUCUCCAGUACAAAGGAUUAAUUUUGUAUGAGUCUAUGCCUGUACUGCUCUUCAGCAAUGACAGAAAUUCAUUUCUUGGCCAGAUUUUAUGAAUGAUGUUCCAUAUUUAUUGUGUAUUAUGACCUUUUUGGAUGAUACAAAGUCGAGUCUAGACAUCUGCCUUUGGUUCUAACACCAUUUCUCUUCUCUGAUGAACAGUGUAUUGCAGUCUAUAGAUACCUGUAAUUUACAACUUUUUUUCAGUUUAAAGUAAGAUCAUGAUUAACAUUUUAUAUGAAGCAAGGUGGUGAACAGGAGAGUUCAUUGACUUUUAAACCCUGGAAUCACCCAAACGGUUUUACAUUCCAAGUAAAAUAUUUGGUAGGCUUCACACCAGUCUUUUACCAAUGAAUAUCACAAUAUUGCUGUUGGGAAAAACUGCAUUUAUUAAGGCAGUAUAUUUUAAAAACUGGCCCCAGCACCACACAGCUGGAAACAAGGAAAAAGUAAUCUAUGGCAGCAUGUAAAAAAACUGUUCUCUAGUUAGACUGUGUAUUUUUAAUAACUGCCUCCAACAGACCACCCUAUGACACUGAUUGCAAGCACAGAAAGCCUGAUUAUUCAAAAGCCAUGUAAAUGAGACAGAUGUUGAUAUUGCAAACUCCCACUAUUCACCUCCAACCUAUUUUUUCAUCUUUUUCUGCUUGUUUCACUUGUUUCUUUCCUGGUGUCCUUUCUCUCACUGGUGUUUUCCUUCAGUACCACUCUAUUUGCCUCCCAGAACCAACUGCAGCUUUUAGCUUUAAUGGCAGAACAGAAAUUGUUUAGAGAUCUUUUAAUCCUUCACCUUAUAUGCCACUUGCACAAGGACAGGCUACUCACUGCUCAGAGAUGAACUAUGAAAAUAGCAAAAAUAGUAGAUUAAUUAAGCUGGAUCACCAAAAAACCCCAAGAAUCUCCUACUUCUGUUGAUUGGCACUAAAAUACAUUAAGUACUCCUGGUUUAUAACAUAAUUUCUCUAAAGGAUGUUUACUAAAAGAUGGUGUCAAUGUGGUGUCAUUCCUUUGGCUACUUGGGUCCAAGUUUUUGUAAAUGUCUCUUGUUGUAGGCUGAAAUGUAUUACAACUUUAUCACUAUUUUCCUUA
This is a long non-coding RNA of Melospiza melodia melodia, 4462 nucleotides long. RefSeq lists it as uncharacterized. The record is from RefSeq and is a predicted model, not a curated record. The transcript has 9 exons. NCBI's taxonomy places the organism in Eukaryota, Metazoa, Chordata, Aves, Passeriformes, Passerellidae.